Molecule: long non-coding RNA, 834 nt
Filed under: Triticum aestivum (bread wheat)
Lineage: Eukaryota; Viridiplantae; Streptophyta; Magnoliopsida; Poales; Poaceae
Description: long non-coding RNA (TAES_LNC005849)
Source: RNAcentral
AAAAUAGAAAAGAAAGAAUGAGACGGGAAUGCUAUUACGAACACAUGCUAUAUAUGUGAAAAUUAAUAAGCUCUAUUUUAGAAACACCACUCCUGACUGGAGCUUAAAACAUGACAGUAAAAGCAGGAGCCUCCGGUGCUUCUGAAUUUUCUUUUAAACUCUACGUCUAAGCUUUCUAGUUUACUGUGAUUGUCAAUUUGCUACAUAUACACACACUGACUUGUCAAAUAAUAGAACAGUAUAUCCAACAUCACCAUGACAAUUAAUGGGCGGCUCCACACUUUUUGUUGACAGAAAUAGAGAAGGAAUGAAACUUAAAAGGUAGCAUGGCCACAAUCAAGCAUACCGGCACACUUCCGACUACACCGGACACAACCAGCUGCGCCGAUCUCCAUCUAGCCUAGAGCUAGACGAAUAAACACUAAACACACAUGACCACACAAUGGCAUGACCAACUAAAAGAGAAAUAUGGGGAACCAUAUGACGAACUCCACCGAUGUGACACAAAGUCAUUGAUGAUAGUAAGCAAAAGACCAAAUCGAACACAGCCGCACACCUAAACAUAAAUUGACACCUCAAACCGCCUGGUGAGGCUAAAACUACCAUGCUUUAUUCAGUCAUAAAAAAUGCUUUUGUACUAAGCUGCGAAAUUUUUCUAUUUCCAGAACUAAUGGGUUCGGAGCAUAUUGCCCAGAUGAGGAAAUUGCAAGAACAAAAAUAUGAAAAUAACACAUGAAAGGUUGACAAAUGAAAAAUAUGGAUCCUUGCCUUAAUGCAUCACAAGUUCAAAUCCUUGGCACUCAACUCGGCAAGUAAAUUCAGAAUCCCUACAUC